GCUCGGGUGGCGAAACCGGUAGACGCGAGGGACUUAAAAUCCCUUGGGAUAAACUCCCAUGCGGGUUCGAUCCCCGCCCCGAGCA
This 85-nucleotide transfer RNA is filed under the name Gemmatimonadaceae bacterium. Its description in RNAcentral is "tRNA-Leu". It matches the Rfam family "tRNA". From Rfam's summary of the family: Transfer RNA (tRNA) molecules are approximately 80 nucleotides in length. Their secondary structure includes four short double-helical elements and three loops (D, anti-codon, and T loops). The record is from RNAcentral. Lineage: Bacteria; Pseudomonadati; Gemmatimonadota; Gemmatimonadia; Gemmatimonadales; Gemmatimonadaceae. RNAcentral also lists the same sequence under 2 other names.